AGUGAACGCUGGCGGUAGGCCUAACACAUGCAAGUCGAACGGCAGCACAGGAGAGCUUGCUCUCUGGGUGGCGAGUGGCGGACGGGUGAGGAAUACAUCGGAAUCUACUCUUUCGUGGGGGAUAACGUAGGGAAACUUACGCUAAUACCGCAUACGACCUUCGGGUGAAAGCAGGGGAUCUUAGGGCCUUGCGCGAUUGAAUGAGCCGAUGUCGGAUUAGCUAGUUGGCGGGGUAAAGGCCCACCAAGGCGACGAUCCGUAGCUGGUCUGAGAGGGUGAUCAGCCAAAUGGGAGUUGGAACAAGGUCCAGACUCCGACGUGAGGCAGCAGUGGGGAAUAUUGGACAAUGGGCGCAAGCCUGAUCCAGCCAUACCGCGUGGGUGAAGAAGGCCUUCGGGUUGUAAAGCCCUUUUGUUGGGAAAGAAAAGCACUUGGUUAAUACCCUUGUGGCCUGACGGUACCCAAAGAAUAAGCACCGGCUAACUUCGUUCCAGCAGCCGCCGUAA
Molecule: ribosomal RNA, 506 nt
Filed under: uncultured bacterium
Lineage: Bacteria
Description: partial 16S ribosomal RNA
Rfam family: Bacterial small subunit ribosomal RNA
Source: RNAcentral